UUGGCUUCAGUAAACACGCAGAAGCUCAUUUCGACGACAUAUCAGAUAUUUCAUUCAACGAAAGUUUCAAAUAUAUUACACACAGCAAAAAUGUCCGGGCUCUUCUUUUACCUAAUUUUCGCGUUCAUCGCAGCAGUGGCCAAUGGCCAGAAGGAUCUUAUACCGGAGUAUUUAAGGUCAAUGGAAUGUGGACAAUGUGACGCUCAACAGGAUUGCAGAAUCGAAACGACUGGCUCUUUUUGUCCCUCACAGAAUGACAGGAUGGAGUUUCAUUACAGUCAUGACGGCAAUUUAUCGAAAGGCUUGGAUUCCUUGGCGGAGUGCAUACCCCAACAUUAUUAUUUUAUCAACAAAAAGGCAAUUAGCCAAAUGUGUUGCUUCUGGACACCUCAGACGGGUUGUCAGCAACUAAGAAGCAAAGCCUAUAAAAGAAACCCUUGCUCUGUAUGUGCCAAAUGGAAUUGGAACACAGAAUCAGAUCCAAUGGGGUGUCCGUGCCAUGAAGUAGAAGAGCACAGUAGAAAAAAGAGAAAAGGGAGAAAAGGAGGCGCAACAAAACUCCAACAUUUUGGCUUAUUUCCUGUGAUCUUCAUCUAUUUUGUGCAGCAAAUAUUUUCCCCAUUGGCCCUAUGUGGGAGGGAAAUGUAAAAGGUUCUAUAUCAAACAAAAACUUGCUCCUGCUCCCUGGCUUUAUGGAAACAAAUUUUCAAACUCUUAAGUCAACCAGGACUACUCGGACUACUCGGAUAUUUUGUAUACAUCUGACACUCGAAUGACUAUUCGUUACAUGAGCUUAUGUUCUUACCUGUGAAAUAAUCCAAACUUCAUCAUUCCGAUUGAUAGUUCCUAUUCCGUGGCUGUAUGCGUAAAUAUCACUACACUCUAAAAAGCUAUCCGGAAGGUGGAACAUCUGACAGUAUUAUCCAUCUGACACAAUGACAAUGAUGAUGCAAUACACAAUGUGGUAACCAUUGAAAUAACCCAAACUUCCUCAAAUGGAGACGUGUACACAAAAAAUAUUUCCAAAAUUUCAAAUCGAGAACGAUAUGGCACGGAAAAUAUGACAAGAUCAACGCAAUGGAUUGGUACAUAUUUUUAGUAAAAGAAAAACUAUAAAACCAAGCUUAUGCAUUUGCAGAUACUUCUUUUAAGCGAAGCGGAAAGAGAGUCUAUGCACAUUAUAAUGGGUUCUUAUGACAGGAUGAUCUGAGUCCAGCUUUGACGAACGCUUCGACUAGAUUUUCAUCCAUCGAGAAUCGUUGCCUUAUUUGUUCUCUACUUUUGGCAAUAAACAUUAAGACACUA
Molecule: long non-coding RNA, 1305 nt
Organism: Drosophila miranda
Lineage: Eukaryota; Metazoa; Arthropoda; Insecta; Diptera; Drosophilidae
Exons: 2
Source: RefSeq, a predicted model, not a curated record